AAAACUUUUCCAAAAGAAAAAUCUUUUAUCGGUUUAAUAUCUGAUACGUCCCCGGACUACUAUAAUUAUAAGUUUUCGAACAGGGAGUCGAAAUGGGGCCUCCGUCCGCUCCACGCAUCGACCAGUUAUUGCAGUACCUCCGGGAGCGGUGCAACACUU
RNAcentral lists this small nuclear RNA (159 nucleotides) under Salmo salar (Atlantic salmon). RNAcentral describes it as "U2 spliceosomal RNA (ENSSSAG00000096542.1)". It matches the Rfam family "U2 spliceosomal RNA". Rfam says of the family: U2 is a small nuclear RNA (snRNA) component of the spliceosome (involved in pre-mRNA splicing). Complementary binding between U2 snRNA (in an area lying towards the 5' end but 3' to hairpin I) and the branchpoint sequence (BPS) of the intron results the bulging out of an unpaired adenosine, on the BPS, which initiates a nucleophilic attack at the intronic 5' splice site, thus starting the first of two transesterification reactions that mediate splicing. The record is from RNAcentral. Lineage: Eukaryota; Metazoa; Chordata; Actinopteri; Salmoniformes; Salmonidae.